RNAcentral lists this ribosomal RNA (438 nucleotides) under Triticum aestivum (bread wheat). RNAcentral's name for it is "partial small subunit ribosomal RNA". The record is from RNAcentral. Lineage: Eukaryota; Viridiplantae; Streptophyta; Magnoliopsida; Poales; Poaceae.
AUGCCUCUUCCUGUUCCUAGCACUCCUGGGGAAGAUAUAUCUAUGGACUUUGUAUUAGGACUGCCUAGAACACGACGGGGGAGGGAUAGUCUAUUUCUCGUUGUCGAUAGAUUCUCUAAGAUGGCACAUUUUAUACCUUGUCAUAAAAGUGACGAUGCUACUCACAUUGCUGAUUUGUUCUUUAGAGAAGUAGUUCGUUUACAUGGUGUGCCAAAUACAAUUGUUUAUGAUCGUGACAAAAAAUUUCUUAGCCACUUUUGGAGGGUGUUGUGGACAAAAUUGGGGACUAAGCUUUUAUUUAGUAGUACAUGUCAUCUUCAAACAUAUGGUCAAACUGAAGUGGUUAAUCGAACAUUGUCUACUAUGCUUAGGGAUGUUUUGAAAAAGAACUUAAAAAUGUGGGAAGAAAUGCCUGCCUCAUGUAGAGUUUGCUUAUAA